RNAcentral lists this ribosomal RNA (517 nucleotides) under uncultured bacterium. Its description in RNAcentral is "partial 16S ribosomal RNA". It matches the Rfam family "Bacterial small subunit ribosomal RNA", at positions 29 to 523 of the family's 1533-position model. The record is from RNAcentral.
AACGAACGCUGGCGGCGUGCUUAACACAUGCAAGUCGAACGCGAAAGGGACUUCGGUCCUGAGUAAAGUGGCGCUCGGGUGAGUAACGCGUGGAUAAUCUACCCAAUGGACUGGGAUAACAUCUCGAAAGGGGUGCUAAUACCGGAUAAGACCACGGAGUCUUUGGAUUCUGCGGUAAAAGGUGGGGACCUUCGGGCCUGCCGGCAUUGGAUGAGUCCGCGUACCAUUAGCUAGUUGGUGGGGUAAGAGCCUACCAAGGCAACGAUGGUUAGAUGGUCUGAGAGGAUGAUCAGCCACACUGGAACUGAGACACGGUCCAGACUCCUACGGGAGGCAGCAGUGGGGAAUUUUGCGCAAUGGGGGAAACCCUGACGCAGCAACGCCGCGUGAGUGAUGAAGGCCUUCGGGUCGUAAAGCUCUGUCAGAGGGAAAGAAGUGUAUUGUGGUUAAUACCCAUGAUACUUGACGGUACCCUCAAAGGAAGCACCGGCUAACUCCGUGCCAGCCGCCGCAGUAA